Molecule: ribosomal RNA, 910 nt
Filed under: Melanelixia fuliginosa
Lineage: Eukaryota; Fungi; Ascomycota; Lecanoromycetes; Lecanorales; Parmeliaceae
Description: eukaryotic LSU rRNA
Rfam family: Eukaryotic large subunit ribosomal RNA
Source: RNAcentral
GGGAUUGCCUCAGUAACGGCGAGUGAAGCGGCAACAGCUCAAAUUUGAAAUCUGGCCCCCUCGGGGUCCGAGUUGUAAUUUGUAGAGAGUGCUUCGGGGGAGACCGCGGUCUAAGUCCAUUGGAACAUGGCGUCAUAGAGGGUGAGAAUCCCGUAUGCGACCGUGGUUCGAACCCGUGUGAAGCCUCUUCGACGAGUCGAGUUGUUUGGGAAUGCAGCUCAAAAUGGGUGGUAAAUUUCAUCUAAAGCUAAAUACUGGCUGGAGACCGAUAGCGCACAAGUAGAGUGAUCGAAAGAUGAAAAGCACUUUGGAAAGAGAGUUAAAAAGUACGUGAAAUUGUUGAAAGGGAAGCGCUGGCAACCAGACCUGUCCGCAGGCGAUCAGCCGCUGUUCUCAGCGGUGCACUCGCUCUGCGAUCAGGCCAGCAUCGGUUUCGGCGGUCGGAUAAAGGCCUUGGGAAUGUAGCUCCCCCUCGGGGGAGUCUUAUAGCCCUCGGUGCAAUGCGGCCAGCCGGGACCGAGGACCGCGCUUCGGCUAGGAUGCUGGCGUAAUGGUUGUCAGCGACCCGUCUUGAAACACGGACCAAGGAGUCUAAUAUCUAUGCGAGUGUUUGGGUGUUAAACCCAUGCGCGGAAUGAAAGUGAACGGAGGUGAGAACCCUCAAGGGCGCAUCAUCGACCGAUCCAGAUGUCUUCGGAUGGAUUUGAGUAUGAGCAUAAAUAUUGGGACCCGAAAGGUAAGGCCCCAAUUGUGCCCCCCCCCCGCAUGUAGAUUCCAACGCUAACGUAUCUCCCAGAUGGUGAACUAUGCCUGAAUAGGGUGAAGCCAGAGGAAACUCUGGUGGAGGCUCGCAGCGGUUCUGACGUGCAAAUCGAUCGUCAAAUUUGGGUAUAGGGGCGAAAGACUAAUC